Molecule: ribosomal RNA, 294 nt
Filed under: Escherichia coli
Lineage: Bacteria; Pseudomonadati; Pseudomonadota; Gammaproteobacteria; Enterobacterales; Enterobacteriaceae
Description: partial 23S ribosomal RNA
Rfam family: Bacterial large subunit ribosomal RNA
Source: RNAcentral
CCAGACAGCCAGGAUGUUGGCUUAGAAGCAGCCAUCAUUUAAAGAAAGCGUAAUAGCUCACUGGUCGAGUCGGCCUGCGCGGAAGAUGUAACGGGGCUAAACCAUGCACCGAAGCUGCGGCAGCGACACUAUGUGUUGUUGGGUAGGGGAGCGUUCUGUAAGCCUGUGAAGGUGUGCUGUGAGGCAUGCUGGAGGUAUCAGAAGUGCGAAUGCUGACAUAAGUAACGAUAAAGCGGGUGAAAAGCCCGCUCGCCGGAAGACCAAGGGUUCCUGUCCAACGUUAAUCGGGGCAGG